UCUGUUUCACACACUGGAACGUAACGCUUCCAGUCAUUCACCAACACAAAGACGCGAGAACUGUCAACAGACUGGAUGAUGAAGAUGACAAACAAAACAAAAGAUAGGUUGUUGGACGAGCAGUAUUUUCUUAAUUCCUCAGGUGAACAAUAUCCGGAGCAAUUUGCGAUUAGGGCGAACAUGCAAAGUGUAAACAAAACGAAAAUAAUGAUUGUAAUAUUUGAAAUAGAAUUUCAAAUCGUAAUUAACAAAUUGAGCGAUAAAUUUGAAUAUUAUCUACCAUACGAACAGAGAGCAAAACUAGCUACUGAAUCAUAUAUAAUACCGAUCAAUUUUUUCGUUUUCCAUUAAAAUAUGCUCAUUUUUAAUAUUCGCCCACCAAUGUUAUUAAGUUUGGUUACGCCUUUUUCAAUGUUAGCCCCACAAGUACUCGAAAAAAAGUAUCGCCCAAUACUUUUCGCCUGUUUUUUGACAUUCUUUAAAUUUCGCCUUCUGCUUUUCGCCAUUGUUUUCAUUUUUAUUCAGUAUCGUCUUUUACUUUACGCCAAGUUUAUGUUUUGAUUUUAAUUAAGCCUUUCACUUUUGAAAUAAUUUCGAUUAUUCUCUUGUGAGUAAUAUUAUAAGUUUCAAAUGUCCCAAUAAUAUUCAUUGCUAUAAAUAGUGGAAAUAUAUUAUGCGGCAGGUUAUGCAAUCAAGAAAAACUUGUUUGGUUGAUUUCUCAACGAUUAGUUUUCACCGAGGAUUUCACAAACAGGACUGUACAAUGGUACUGUGGACAGGCAGACAGGCUGAGGAAUUGUAAAGAACAUCUCGACGAAUUUAUCGCACCGUAUAAGGGUUUUUCUAUUCCUAACCACUCAGCAAUAAAAAAAUGAGUUGAAUUGAUAAGAAUCAUGUGAGGUGAUUGUAGUGCUCAUAGUGAUACGGAAUGAAGUAUUAAUGUAGCUAGAGAACGGGUACAGAGUUACUGCCCAAAGUAAUCUAUAUAAGCAGCAAGAUGUAUAAUUGUAUGUAUACCUAUGUUUUAUACAGUGUCCACAGUUCGAGCUUGUUACGCGUUCUCGAUUACGCCAGUAAUACCAGUGUGUUACGCCAGUGUGUCAUUACACACUGGUGGUAUAAGUACCAUGGUACAAGAAUCUUGAAAUGAGUACCGUACCGAUUAUUGUCUUUAUCAAAGAUAGUCGUGUAAUAAUUUUCUUGUCCUCUUGUACCAUGGUACAAGUACUCCUUAGCAUAAAAUCGACGUGUAUUAUGUUUAUAUUACGAGCCACAUCACAUAACAGGAUAUACCGAUUUAAAACGCCAUACAGUGCCUUCGCGUUUAUGGCAAAAGAUGAUUAUCACCAUUUCGAUUUUAUUGCAAAUUUUUUUCAAUCGCUUUACAUUCCAACUGGAACUUGGCCUGAUAUUCAACUUAGUUUUAUUAGUUAGCUGGUUAUGUUACAUCUAACUGUGACAACACUAUCAUUAUACAAUGUAUUAAUAGAAGUAUUGUUCGAAGUAUGUACAAAAAUGAGAAUAACUACUAGAAAUUUAUUUAUUUAGGUGUUUUAGCGCAGUCUCCUUUGUUAGUUAGUUAGCCUUCUGAGCAAAGGAUAGGCGUAGGAUUGACGGAAAAUGGGAGUUUGAUUCUCGGUCCGGCCUAGGAUGUUUCCGGGUGGGAAACAUUCUCGGCUUCAGUUGGAGUAUAGAGCCAUUAAAGAAGAAGAAGAAGAAGAAGGUGUUUUAGCGCAAUGGUUAGACAAGGGCAUUUCAGAAUUUAUAGAAUAAAAAUAAAAGUAGUUACAUUUCAACAAUUUUAUUUUAUUUCAACAAAAAAGAAACAGAAAACAUGGCAAA
Molecule: long non-coding RNA, 1842 nt
Organism: Armigeres subalbatus
Lineage: Eukaryota; Metazoa; Arthropoda; Insecta; Diptera; Culicidae
Exons: 3
Source: RefSeq, a predicted model, not a curated record